AGUUUGAUCCUGGCUCAGAUUGAACGCUGGCGGCAGGCCUAACACAUGCAAGUCGAACGGUAGCACAGAGAGCUUGCUCUUGGGUGACGAGUGGCGGACGGGUGAGUAAUGUCUGGGAAACUGCCCGAUGGAGGGGGAUAACUACUGGAAACGGUAGCUAAUACCGCAUAACGUCUUCGGACCAAAGUGGGGGACCUUCGGGCCUCACACCAUCGGAUGUGCCCAGAUGGGAUUAGCUAGUAGGUGGGGUAACGGCUCACCUAGGCGACGAUCCCUAGCUGGUCUGAGAGGAUGACCAGCCACACUGGAACUGAGACACGGUCCAGACUCCUACGGGAGGCAGCAGUGGGGAAUAUUGCACAAUGGGCGCAAGCCUGAUGCAGCCAUGCCGCGUGUAUGAAGAAGGCCUUCGGGUUGUAAAGUACUUUCAGUGGGGAGGAAGGCGAUGAAGUUAAUAGCUUCGUCGAUUGACGUUACCCGCAGAAGAAGCACCGGCUAACUCCGUGCCAGCAGCCGCGGUAA
Molecule: ribosomal RNA, 522 nt
Filed under: uncultured bacterium
Lineage: Bacteria
Description: bacterial SSU rRNA
Rfam family: Bacterial small subunit ribosomal RNA
Source: RNAcentral